CGCGCAGGUGGCGCGGUAAGUGACAGGUGAAAGCCCUCGGCUCAACCGAGGAAUUGCCUGCCAAACUGCUGCGCUUGAGGCCGGGAGGGGAGAGUGGAAUUCCUGGUGUAGCGGUGAAAUGCGUAGAUACCAGGAGGAACACCGGUGGCGAAGGCGGCUCUCUGGACCGGUUCUGACGCUCAUGCGCGAAAGCGUGGGGAGCAAACAGGAUUAGAUACCCUGGUAGUCCACGCCCUAAACGAUGGGCACUAGGCGUCGCGGGUGUCGACCCCUGCGGUGCCGUAGCUAACGCGUUAAGUGCCCCCGCCUGGGGAGUACGGUCGCAAGGCUGAA
Molecule: ribosomal RNA, 333 nt
Filed under: uncultured bacterium
Lineage: Bacteria
Description: bacterial SSU rRNA
Rfam family: Bacterial small subunit ribosomal RNA
Source: RNAcentral